AGAGGUGAAGAAUUUCAUAUUCGUUUCAGUUACAUUGAAGAGAACCAUCAUGUUGGCACCUUUA
Molecule: transfer RNA, 64 nt
Filed under: Berthella plumula
Lineage: Eukaryota; Metazoa; Mollusca; Gastropoda; Pleurobranchida; Pleurobranchidae
Description: tRNA-Val
Source: RNAcentral